Molecule: long non-coding RNA, 553 nt
Filed under: Marmota monax (woodchuck)
Lineage: Eukaryota; Metazoa; Chordata; Mammalia; Rodentia; Sciuridae
Source: RNAcentral
GGAAAUAGCAAUAAAUAAAUUAAAAAUCUAUAUGUUUGAAAAUAAUUAAGUGAUGUAGGGAAGAAUUAAGCAGAAAAGGGGAAUGGAGAGAGUAAGGGUAUAAUUUUAAGUAGAAUGGUCAGGGGAGACCUCACCAGGAAUAUGAUUCUUAAGCAAAAGGAGAAGGAGUGAGUUGUGUGGGACAGUAUAUGUGAGUAAGGGUACAUUGAAAGCAUAAGAGCAUUCUAAGCCCAGGCUUCUUAACCUGGACCCCAUGAACCCUCCCUUCCAGAGGUCAAUGGGUAGAACUCAGGGGGUCAGCACCUUUUAUGAGAAAAAGAAUUGCAUCUUUAUUUUCACUAAUUAAAACAUAGCAGUUCUUCAAUUAUGAAUGCAGAUAACAAAUCAGUGAUAUUAGCAGCACCUGUGACACUGCUGCUAGUAAAAAUCACAGAUAUUUUCAUAUCACAUUACAGUUGUUGAAAAUACCUUAAAAUAUUACAUUCAUCACUACCUCAACAUUAUGCUCCAAUUUAAUGAAUUAAUAAAGCACAUAUAUUACUAUAUUAUACAU